RNAcentral lists this transfer RNA (63 nucleotides) under Ictidomys tridecemlineatus (thirteen-lined ground squirrel). RNAcentral describes it as "Spermophilus tridecemlineatus (thirteen-lined ground squirrel) tRNA". It matches the Rfam family "tRNA", at positions 5 to 66 of the family's 71-position model. From Rfam's summary of the family: Transfer RNA (tRNA) molecules are approximately 80 nucleotides in length. Their secondary structure includes four short double-helical elements and three loops (D, anti-codon, and T loops). The record is from Rfam by way of RNAcentral. Lineage: Eukaryota; Metazoa; Chordata; Mammalia; Rodentia; Sciuridae.
GUGUGGCUCAGUGGUAGAGCACUUGUCUAGUAUGCAUGAAGCCCUGGGUUUAAUCCCUAGCAC